AGAGUUUGAUUCUGGCUCAGGAUGAACGCUAGCUACAGGCUUAACACAUGCAAGUCGAGGGGCAGCAUGGGAUUAGCUUGCUAAUCCUGAUGGCGACCGGCGCACGGGUGAGUAACGCGUAUCCAACCUUCCCCCUACUCAGGCAUAGCCCGGUGAAAACCGGAUUAACUCCUGAUAGUUUCACUAGAUGGCAUCUGACGGUGAAUAAAGCUCUGCGGUAAGGGAUGGGGAUGCGUCUGAUUAGCUUGUUGGCGGGGUAACGGCCCACCAAGGCAACGAUCAGUAGGGGUUCUGAGAGGAAGGUCCCCCACAUUGGAACUGAGACACGGUCCAAACUCCUACGGGAGGCAGCAGUGAGGAAUAUUGGUCAAUGGGCGCGAGCCUGAACCAGCCAAGUAAGCGUGCAGGAAGACGGCCCUAUGGGUUGUAAACUGCUUUUGUGCGGGAAUAAAGUGGCCCACGUGUGGGUUUUUGCAUGUACCGCAAGAAUAAGGACCGGCUAAUUCCGUGCCAGCCGCGGC
Molecule: ribosomal RNA, 521 nt
Filed under: uncultured bacterium
Lineage: Bacteria
Description: bacterial SSU rRNA
Rfam family: Bacterial small subunit ribosomal RNA
Source: RNAcentral